Molecule: long non-coding RNA, 472 nt
Organism: Bos taurus (domestic cattle)
Lineage: Eukaryota; Metazoa; Chordata; Mammalia; Artiodactyla; Bovidae
Source: Ensembl
CCCCAAGCCCCCACCCCUCAGCCGCUGCUCCUGCAGCAAAAGCAUCAUGAAUCAUCCACACCUCCCGUUGCCCUAACAGGCCUCUUCUCUUAUUGUUCUUCUAGCAUGAUUGGUUUUGUUCCUUAUUAGAUGGUGAAAAGGAAUGACCUAAAUGGAGGUGGAUGGAUGGAUGGCCUUCCCGCUCCUGUACCUCAGUGGUGUAAUAUAUCUACUCACCCAAGAUUUGAAUUUCAAACGUGGACAACAAGAGGCCGAAUUUCUACACUAAAGAAGCAAUGGUCGAUGACGUCAAUUUCAUUUCUGCACCGACGACAGAAACAGCUCCUUAUCAAGCACUUGGGCUACUGCACAAACCUGGCUUCAAGAAAGAACUGUCCUGAUCUGACACAUGAUCCAAGUCAAAAAAUUUGAAAUCCAAUUUGAAACUGUGGUCUGGCAGAACCAACACAAUUCAGGGCUAGAUAUUUAAAAG